CCUACGGGAGGCUAUGAAGGGAAUGUCUCCGAUACGAGUUGAUUAUAUUGUUACGGGAUCGGUUCUUAUAAACUUUAUAAUUUCAAGAACCGGAAUAAAGGAACUGUAUCAGUCUUCAUACUCCCUUAAAGAGGGGAGCAUGGCAGAAAUUGCAGCUUCAUUGCAUGAAUAAAAAAGGAUAAAAAUAUGAAGUUAUUGAUUAUUGACGACGAGAAGAGCAUUAGAAACACUCUAAAGGAAAUUCUUGAAUUUGAAGGACAUGAAGUUGGUCUUGCAUCAGACGGUGAGGAGGGAUUGGCACUGGCUUCUGCAAAUAGCUUCGAUGUAAUUUUCUCGGACAUCAAAAUGCCGAAUAUGGAUGGUAUGGAACUGCUCGACAAACUCUCAGAGGCAAAUAUAGAUACCCGAGUAGUC
RNAcentral lists this ribosomal RNA (414 nucleotides) under uncultured prokaryote. RNAcentral describes it as "partial 16S ribosomal RNA". The record is from RNAcentral.